Nitzschia inconspicua is the source of this 72-nucleotide non-coding RNA. The record is from the annotation of a GenBank genome assembly. NCBI's taxonomy places the organism in Eukaryota, Bacillariophyta, Bacillariophyceae, Bacillariales, Bacillariaceae.
GACCCAGUGGCGCAACGGUAACGCGCGUGACUACGAAUCACGAGAUUGUGGGUUCGAUUCCCAUCUGGGUUA